CGCGGCGGACGGGGCUCGAACCCGCGACCCCCGGCGUGACAGGCCGAUAUUCUAACCAACUGAACUACCGCCGC
RNAcentral lists this transfer RNA (74 nucleotides) under Sulfurospirillum multivorans. RNAcentral's name for it is "tRNA-Asp". The record is from RNAcentral. Lineage: Bacteria; Pseudomonadati; Campylobacterota; Epsilonproteobacteria; Campylobacterales; Sulfurospirillaceae.